Molecule: ribosomal RNA, 434 nt
Filed under: uncultured bacterium
Lineage: Bacteria
Description: bacterial SSU rRNA
Rfam family: Bacterial small subunit ribosomal RNA
Source: RNAcentral
AACGAACGCUGGCGGCAGGCUUAACACAUGCAAGUCGAACGCUCGUAGCAAUACGGGAGUGGCGGACGGGUGAGUAACGCGUGGGAACGUGCCCUGAGGUACGGAAUAACUGCGGGAAACUGCAGCUAAUACCGUAUGAGCCCCGUGAGGGGGAAAGAUUUAUCGCCUUAGGAGCGGCCCGCGUCGGAUUAGCUAGUUGGUGGGGUAACGGCUUACCAAGGCUUCGAUCCGUAGCUGGUCUGAGAGGACGAUCAGCCACACUGGGACUGAGACACGGCCCAGACUCCUACGGGAGGCAGCAGUGGGGAAUCUUGCGCAAUGGGGGCAACCCUGACGCAGCCAUGCCGCGUGAAUGAUGAAGGCCUUAGGGUUGUAAAGUUCUUUUGCCCGUGACGAUGAUGACGUAACGGAGAAUAAGCUCGGCUAACUUCGUG